RNAcentral lists this ribosomal RNA (253 nucleotides) under uncultured bacterium. RNAcentral's name for it is "partial 16S ribosomal RNA". It matches the Rfam family "Bacterial small subunit ribosomal RNA", at positions 524 to 776 of the family's 1533-position model. The record is from RNAcentral.
UACGUAGGUGGCAAGCGUUGUCCGGAUUUACUGGGCGUAAAGAGCGCGCAGGCGGUCGAUCAAGUCGAGUGUGAAAGCCCCCGGCUCAACUGGGGAGGGUCAUUCGAUACUGAUCGACUCGAAGGCAGGAGAGGGUAGUGGAAUUCCCGGUGUAGUGGUGAAAUGCGCAGAUAUCAGGAGGAACACCGGUGGCGAAGGCGGUUCUCUGGGCAUUACCUGACGCUGAGGAGCGAAAGUGUGGGGAGCGAACAGG